CUUCUUCAUUUCAGAACAUUUUUCCUAAGUAUAAUUCUGAGUUGACAUUUCUUUUCUUCCAUCACUUGACAAAAUACUUGUCUCUCUAUUUUGGCCUUCAUAGCUUCUGAGGAGAAGUCCAUCGUCAUUUGAAUUGGUUUUCCCCUAACAGGUAAGUUAUUCUUUCUCUCUCACUACUUUCAAUAUUCUCUGUCCUUAGUUGUCAGAAGUUUGACUAUAGUAUAACUUGGUCUGGAUUUAUUUGUUUAAAACCUCUUUGAAGACUUUCUCAAAUUCUCAAAUCUAUAGAUUUAAUGUUCUUUGACAACUUUGGGAAAUUUUCAUUCAUUUGUUUUCCUUCUAGUACUCUCCCUCCUGCCAUAUCUCUUAUCUUCUAGUACUCUGAUGACACAAAUAUCAGAUCUUUUGCAAUAGUCGCACUGAUCCUUGAGGCUUUACCCAGUUUUCCCCCAGGGUAUGUCUCUCCAUUGUUCAAGACCGGUGAUUUCUAUUACUUCAUCUCCCAGUUCACUGAUUUUUUUUCUUCUGUCCCCUCAUUUCCGCUGGUUAGGACAUCCAGUGAGUUUUUAUUUCCAUUAUUGUAUUUGUCAAUUCUAGAAUUCCCAUUUGGUAAUCUGUACUUUCUAUUUUUUUGAUGGGACUUUCUAUUACUUCGCUGAG
This 660-nucleotide long non-coding RNA is filed under the name Marmota monax (woodchuck). The record is from RNAcentral. Lineage: Eukaryota; Metazoa; Chordata; Mammalia; Rodentia; Sciuridae.